AUAGUACUCCUUCCGUUCCAAAAUAGUUGUCAUCAAAAUAGAUAAAAAUGAUGUAUCUAAAAUUAACAUACGUCUAGAUGCAUUCUCUUUUAUUCAUUUUUUAUAACAAGUAUUUCCGGACGGAGGGGGUACGUC
This is a non-coding RNA of Triticum urartu, 135 nucleotides long. NCBI's taxonomy places the organism in Eukaryota, Viridiplantae, Streptophyta, Magnoliopsida, Poales, Poaceae. The record is from Rfam.